RNAcentral lists this ribosomal RNA (751 nucleotides) under uncultured Actinomyces sp. Its description in RNAcentral is "bacterial SSU rRNA". It matches the Rfam family "Bacterial small subunit ribosomal RNA", at positions 28 to 776 of the family's 1533-position model. The record is from RNAcentral. Lineage: Bacteria; Bacillati; Actinomycetota; Actinomycetes; Actinomycetales; Actinomycetaceae.
GACGAACGCUGGCGGCGUGCUUAACACAUGCAAGUCGAACGCUGAAGCCUAGCUUGCUGGGUGGAUGAGUGGCGAACGGGUGAGUAACACGUGAGUAACCUGCCCUCUUCUUUGGGAUAACGCCCGGAAACGGGUGCUAAUACUGGAUAUUCACUGAUCUUCGCAUGGGGGUUGGUGGAAAGGUUUUUUCUGGUGGGGGAUGGGCUCGCGGCCUAUCAGCUUGUUGGCGGGGUGAUGGCCUACCAAGGCUUUGACGGGUAGCCGGCCUGAGAGGGUGACCGGUCACAUUGGGACUGAGAUACGGCCCAGACUCCUACGGGAGGCAGCAGUGGGGAAUAUUGCACAAUGGGCGAAAGCCUGAUGCAGCGACGCCGCGUGAGGGAUGGAGGCCUUCGGGUUGUAAACCUCUUUCGCUCAUGGUCAAGCCGCAACUUAGGGUUGUGGUGAGGGUAGUGGGUAAAGAAGCGCCGGCUAACUACGUGCCAGCAGCCGCGGUAAUACGUAGGGCGCGAGCGUUGUCCGGAAUUAUUGGGCGUAAAGGGCUUGUAGGCGGUUGGUCGCGUCUGCCGUGAAAUCCUCUGGCUUAACUGGGGGCGUGCGGUGGGUACGGGCUGACUUGAGUGCGGUAGGGGAGACUGGAACUCCUGGUGUAGCGGUGGAAUGCGCAGAUAUCAGGAAGAACACCGGUGGCGAAGGCGGGUCUCUGGGCCGUUACUGACGCUGAGGAGCGAAAGCGUGGGGAGCGAACAGG